Molecule: ribosomal RNA, 429 nt
Filed under: Chloroflexota bacterium
Lineage: Bacteria; Bacillati; Chloroflexota
Description: Chloroflexi bacterium partial 16S ribosomal RNA
Rfam family: Bacterial small subunit ribosomal RNA
Source: RNAcentral
UGGGGAAUAUUGCACAAUGGGCGCAAGCCUGAUGCAGCCAUGCCGCGUGUAUGAAGAAGGCCUUCGGGUUGUAAAGUACUUUCAGCGGGGAGGAAGGCAGUAAAGUUAAUACCUUUGCUCAUUGACGUUACCCGCAGAAGAAGCACCGGCUAACUCCGUGCCAGCAGCCGCGGUAAUACGGAGGGUGCAAGCGUUAUUCGGAAUUACUGGGCGUAAAGCGCACGCAGGCGGUUUGUUAAGUCAGAUGUGAAAUCCCCGGGCUCAACCUGGGAACUGCAUCUGAUACUGGCAAGCUUGAGUCUCGUAGAGGGGGGUAGAAUUCCAGGUGUAGCGGUGAAAUGCGUAGAGAUCUGGAGGAAUACCGGUGGCGAAGGCGGCCCCCUGGACGAAGACUGACGCUCAGGUGCGAAAGCGUGGGGAGCAAACAGG